GAUGAACGCUAGCGGCAUGCCUAACGCAUGCAAGUCGAGCGAGGAGUUACUUUCGGGUUACUGAGACCGGCAUACGGGUGCGUAACGCGUAUACAAUCUGCCUUUCACUGGUAGCUAGCCCGAAGAAAUUUGGAUUAAUACGCCAUAGUAUAUAGAGACGGCAUCGUUUUUAUAUUAAAGCUUAGGUGGUGAAAGAUGAGUAUGCGUUCUAUUAGCUAGUUGCAGAGGUAACGGCUCCCGAAGGCGAUGAUAGAUAGGGGUUCUGCGAGGGAUGUCCCCCACACUGGGACUGAGAUACGGACCAGACUGCUACGGGAGGCAGCAGUGAGGAAUAUUGGAGAAUGGUCGGAAGACUGAUCCAGCCAUGCCGCGUGCAGGAUGAAGGUCUUAUGGAUUGUAAACUGCUUUUGGAAGGGAAGAAUAAGGGCUACGCGUAGUUUGAUGACGGUACCUUACGAAUAAGCACCGGCUAACUCCGUG
Molecule: ribosomal RNA, 480 nt
Filed under: uncultured bacterium
Lineage: Bacteria
Description: partial 16S ribosomal RNA
Rfam family: Bacterial small subunit ribosomal RNA
Source: RNAcentral